RNAcentral lists this ribosomal RNA (468 nucleotides) under uncultured bacterium. RNAcentral describes it as "partial 16S ribosomal RNA". It matches the Rfam family "Bacterial small subunit ribosomal RNA", at positions 28 to 507 of the family's 1533-position model. The record is from RNAcentral.
GACGAACGCUGGCGGCGUGCUUAACACAUGCAAGUCGAACGGAAAGGCCCUGCUUUUGUGGGGUGCUCGAGUGGCGAACGGGUGAGUAACACGUGAGUAACCUGCCCUUGACUUUGGGAUAACUUCAGGAAACUGGGGCUAAUACCGGAUAGGAGCUCCUGCUGCAUGGUGGGGGUUGGAAUGUUUCGGCGGUUGGGGAUGGACUCGCGGCUUAUCAGCUUGUUGGUGGGGUAGUGGCUUGCCAAGGCUUUGACGGGUAGCCGGCCUGAGAGGGUGACCGGCCACAUUGGGACUGAGAUACGGCCCAGACUCCUACGGGAGGCAGCAGUGGGGAAUAUUGCACAAUGGGCGGAAGCCUGAUGCAGCAACGCCGCGUGCGGGAUGACGGCCUUCGGGUUGUAAACCGCUUUCGCCUGUGACGAAGCGUGAGUGACGGUAAUGGGUAAAGAAGCACCGGCUAACUACGUG